AUAAUGAUACUUCCGCAUAGCCACAGACUCACGCAAUGGGUGCGGCAGCCGGAUAUCCCGGCUGUUGUCCGCCGCAUUUUCAGAGAGCAUCUCAACGGCAAAGGG
Molecule: non-coding RNA, 105 nt
Organism: Clostridium tetanomorphum DSM 665
Lineage: Bacteria; Bacillati; Bacillota; Clostridia; Eubacteriales; Clostridiaceae
Source: Rfam